UAAAAAAAGGUAAGCUACUAAGAGCGAAUGGUGGAUGCCUUGACUGGUAAAGGCGAUGAAGGACGUACUAGACUGCGAUAAGCUACGGGGAGCUGUCAAGAAGCUUUGAUCCGUAGAUUUCCGAAUGGGGCAACCCAAUGUAUAGAGAUAUACAUUACCUAUAUAGGAGCGAACGAGGGGAAUUGAAACAUCUUAGUACCCUCAGGAAAAGAAAUCAAUAGAGAUUGCGUCAGUAGCGGCGAGCGAAAGCGCAAGAGGGCAAACCCAGUGCUUGCACUGGGGGUUGUAGGACUGCAAUGUGCAAGAGCUGAGUUUAGCAGAACAUUCUGGAAAGUAUAGCCAUAGAGGGUGAUAGUCCCGUAUGCGAAAAACAAAGCUUAGCUAGCAGUAUCCUGAGUAGGGCGGGACACGAGGAAUCCUGUCUGAAUCCGGGUCGACCACGAUCCAACCCUAAAUACUAAUACCAGAUCGAUAGUGCACAAGUACCGUGAGGGAAAGGUGAAAAGAACUGAGGUGAUCAGAGUGAAAUAGAACCUGAAACCAUUUGCUUACAAUCAUUCAGAGCACUAUGUAGCAAUACAGUGUGAUGGACUGCCUUUUGCAUAAUGAGCCUGCGAGUUGUGGUGUCUGGCAAGGUUAAGCAAACGCGAAGCCGUAGCGAAAGCGAGUCUGAAUAGGGCGCUUAGUCAGAUGCUGCAGACCCGAAACGAAGUGAUCUAUCCAUGAGCAAGUUGAAGCUAGUGUAAGAACUAGUGGAGGACUGAACCCAUAGGCGUUGAAAAGCCCCGGGAUGACUUGUGGAUAGGGGUGAAAGGCCAAUCAAACUUCGUGAUAGCUGGUUCUCUCCGAAAUAUAUUUAGGUAUAGCGUUGUGUCGUAAUAUAAGGGGGUAGAGCACUGAAUGGGCUAGGGCAUACACCAAUGUACCAAACCCUAUCAAACUCCGAAUACCUUAUAUGUAAUCACAGCAGUCAGGCGGCGAGUGAUAAAAUCCGUCGUCAAGAGGGAAACAACCCAGACUACCAGCUAAGGUCCCUAAAUCUUACUUAAGUGGAAAACGAUGUGAAGUUACUUAAACAACCAGGAGGUUGGCUUAGAAGCAGCCAUCCUUUAAAGAAAGCGUAAUAGCUCACUGGUCUAGUGAUUUUGCGCGGAAAAUAUAACGGGGCUAAAGUAAGUACCGAAGCUGUAGACUUGCACACAACUUAGAUUAUUUAAGUUUAGAAUAAGUAGUUUAAGUUGUGUGCAAGUGGUAGGAGAGCGUUCUAUUUGCGUCGAAGGUAUACCGGUAAGGAGUGCUGGAGCGAAUAGAAGUGAGCAUGCAGGCAUGAGUAGCGAUAAUUAAUGUGAGAAUCAUUAACGCCGUAAACCCAAGGUUUCCUACGCGAUGCUCGUCAUCGUAGGGUUAGUCGGGUCCUAAGUCGAGUCCGAAAGGGGUAGACGAUGGCAAAUUGGUUAAUAUUCCAAUACCAACAUUAGUGUGCGAUGGAAGGACGCUUAGGGCUAAGGGGGCUAGCGG
Molecule: ribosomal RNA, 1518 nt
Filed under: Campylobacter jejuni
Lineage: Bacteria; Pseudomonadati; Campylobacterota; Epsilonproteobacteria; Campylobacterales; Campylobacteraceae
Description: partial 23S ribosomal RNA
Rfam family: Bacterial large subunit ribosomal RNA
Source: RNAcentral